CGCCAUUUGUAAGGUAUCGAUGCUAGUGUGUUCAAUUGGUAGGAUUGUGUUGGUCUUAAAUGUGGUAAAAUGUUUUCCCUGUUUGUAGAAAGGACAUGGACAGCUUGUAGUGGACGUAUAACAAAGAGGUGUCGGAUGGCCUGGGUUGGAGCUGUGCGACGCAAAAACAUCACCUUUGGAAACAUAUCUCCGUUUAUGUAUGUCUGCUCUCGACAUUUUCAUAAAGGUCACCCUGCAUAUGAGAUGAUGGAGACUGACCCAGACUGGUCCCUCCAUCUGGGUCACACAGAAAUCUCUCGAUGUGCAACAGUGAUCGAGUACUCGACCGCGACAGCGAUGAUCGAUCACAUAAACGAUGAUCGAAAUGAUUAUUUUUUUAAAUAAUAAAACAAAAGACGUUAGAAGACAGAUAAUCAUGGCCUCAAAGUCACGUAAGUGAUGGCUGGUUUCCCUUUGAGAAGAACGAUGAAAAUACAGUUCAGGGUAAGCUGUACUGCGCCAAGCUGUCACAUACAUCUACAACAAAUAUAAUCC
Molecule: long non-coding RNA, 534 nt
Organism: Carassius auratus (goldfish)
Lineage: Eukaryota; Metazoa; Chordata; Actinopteri; Cypriniformes; Cyprinidae
Exons: 3
Source: RefSeq, a predicted model, not a curated record